Long non-coding RNA from Balaenoptera musculus (blue whale), 335 nucleotides. RefSeq lists it as uncharacterized. The record is from RefSeq and is a predicted model, not a curated record. The transcript has 3 exons. Lineage: Eukaryota; Metazoa; Chordata; Mammalia; Artiodactyla; Balaenopteridae.
UGGGCGGGGCUGGCUCACGGUGUUCUCUCCACGGACCCGGCGGGACCGUCGGGACCUACUGGGCGGCGGGACCGCGAGCCGGUGACAUCCUCCUCCCUCGGAACGGAGCUGAUGCUGCGGACUCUUCCCAACCAGAAGUGCGAGGUUAUUUUUAGGUCACGUGUCACCUAUAAACAUAAUCUUGGAAAAACUAAAGGUGGGACAUGGCCUGGAACCAAAGCCUCCAAGAUCCUUGGACACCUUCAGAUGGAUUUUAUCCAGCUCCUACCCUUCAUGAAAUGGGGGACAUGGGUUCGAUCCCUGGUCCAGGAAGAUCCCACAUGCCAUGGAACAAC